Molecule: ribosomal RNA, 207 nt
Filed under: uncultured bacterium
Lineage: Bacteria
Description: partial 16S ribosomal RNA
Rfam family: Bacterial small subunit ribosomal RNA
Source: RNAcentral
UGUGUAGGCGGUUCUCUAAGUUUGGUGUGAAAUCUCCCGGCUCAACCGGGAGGGUGCGCCGAAAACUGGAGGGCUAGAGUGCGGGAAGGGAGAGUGGAAUUCCUGGUGUAGCGGUGAAAUGCGUAGAUAUCAGGAGGAACACCGGUGGUGUAGACGGCUCUCUGGACCGUAACUGACGCUGAGACACGAAAGCGUGGGUAGCAAACA